AUUGCACUGCAUGGCAUCUGCACUCAGCAUGUUUUUCCUGCUGGGAAGUUCAAAGACAGUGCUAU
Molecule: microRNA precursor, 65 nt
Filed under: Dasypus novemcinctus (nine-banded armadillo)
Lineage: Eukaryota; Metazoa; Chordata; Mammalia; Cingulata; Dasypodidae
Description: miRNA (ENSDNOG00000037735.1)
Rfam family: Small nucleolar RNA SNORA8
About the family: ACA8 is a member of the H/ACA class of snoRNA that guide the sites of modification of uridines to pseudouridines.
Source: RNAcentral